GGUGUGACGUGAGCGUUGGACGUAAGCGUAGUAGCCUAUUGAGUGUUUAAUUCAUAUAGGGGGUAUGGACACAUAUUUAUACACCCGUCUGUCCACCUUGAUGGCGUAGUGUAGCACCGCAUUAAGGCGUGACGUGAGCGUUGGACGCGAGCGUAGUAGCCCUAUAUAGACCCAUGAAUUUAUAUAGGGAGUAUGGACGAGUGUAAAUACAUACAUAUAUUAUAGAGUCUGAGAGGCUCGAUAUUUUAUGGGAUAAAAGUUUAUCGCUUGCGGCAUGCAUUCGAUUUUUCCUUAGAAAUUAAUUUGGGGAAACAUAAAUAUUUUAUUUAUUAUUUUAUUUUUGUCCACUCACUCUAACGUUAUUAAAUGUUUUCCCCUGGGCCCUUCGUUUUAAAUUGCCCAGUCUGCAGAAUUCGGGUUGGAUCUAGUAGGAGACGAGGCAUAGUCACCCGCAUUUCUGCCAGUUUUCGCCAGUAGGUUACCUGUUCAACCUACUCGUGUUUUCUUGCUUCCGCUUGUGUUUAGUAGCUCUGAAUACUUUAGAAUUUUUGUAUAUUAUGUGUUAAAUUAAGAGUGUAAUAUGAAAUUUUCGAGUUAGGGUUGUCCAUCUGCAAGGGAGAUUUUCUUAAUCUUUUCAGUAAAUUUUCCUUGGAGGUGGUCCCCGCACGACUUACUCUGGGUUUCAGGGUGAAAUUCGGGGUGGGUCGUGUCACUGCAAGCCGCUACUUAUUGAAUAGCAAUAUGCUAACGAAAACCGAUGAGAUCACAUCGGGAAGAGGUCGCCGCAUUCCACCCGUUCAUCUCCUAAGCACCCACCUCAUUGUUGGUCGGUCGCGUGUCUUCCUCACAGAGACAGCGAGGAGAUUUGUUCCUUACCUAUCUUUUGGCUUUGCUUAUUUGCUCGGCACAGAAACAUCACAUGUAAUUCUAUUCUUCACAAUUUCACUCAUCUCUCUCUCUUCGCUCUUCCUUGGUCGUUUUUGUUAACCUUGAAUCGUUUCAUUCUCCGUCUCGGUGAGUGUUCAAUUCGCCUAACGCCCGCUGCUAGGCGCGUGACUAAAGAGAUCCAAAACCCGCGGCUAGGCGGGUUUACAGGUUGGGAUUGUGAUUUUGUUUUUUGAUUUUUCAUUAGUUUGUUUAAUUCCGAUUCUUAUCAUUGGUUUUCAAUGGAUUGCAUGUCUUUGUUUUCUUCAGGGAUCAUAAGUGUUGACAGGUUAGGAGUUCCGGUGACGUCCAUCCUUUUGGUCAUCGCCUCAUCGGUAUGUCCAUCUCUUUUGGGAUUUGUUUGUUUAGGGAGGGCUCAGUACAGUUUUGGUGGUACCAGAAAUUUCUGAGUUAACAGAAGGGAAUGCAUGUUUGUGUUGUAUACAAGAACACAGUAGUCUAAGACAAUGGGUGAAGAACAAGGAUUUUUUUUUGUAUUAUUAUGUACUGAUGAUCAUUUUGUUACGUACUUUGGGCUCUAAUUGUAGUUCCCUGGAUGCUCUUUCCAAAACCUUUCAUUUUGAGGAAGCUUCAUAUAGAGGUACUGUGGUAUAAUUUACUCAUCAUUUGUUUCAUAGUUCUAAGAAAACCAGUAAAGGGAUGAAACACAUAAAAACUUUAAAAAGAAGUUUGUUUUCAUUGUAAAUAUUGAAACAUAAAUAGAAUAUUUGUAGUCAGUAUCCCAAAUUGUUUUGCGGACUCAGCUUAGGUUAUUUAGUAUUUUACUACAUAAGCUAUUUGACCGGACGCAUCAGAAGCUUGGGAGGAUAGUAUUAGUUUGCUUACCUGUUAUUUUUCAGAGGUUUCAAGGUUGGUGCCUCAGAAAAAGAUCGUGACGUGGAAACUGAUCAUGCGAGGCAACAUCAUCGGAACUUUAAUUUCAGUGAGGUGUUUGUGCACCAGAUGAUACAGUCUAUAGAGUUUGUUCUAGCUUGGUGCAAUUUCAAAUACACAUCUUGCCUUCAAUUAUAGGCUGAUCUGAUCAGGGAGGAACUCUCAUCGCUGCUAGCUGAAGGAAAGCUGCUCAAGUUGAUGUUCUCUUACAUGAGCUCUAAAUCGAGUAAUUGAUUCCUAUUAAGUGGAUUAUUUUAUGAUGGUUUUUGUUUUUUUAAUUGGGUUUUGUUUAUUUUCUCUUCAAUUUGAUUUUCAAAUAGCUCUUUAGUUUUACUUUCUCGGAAACAUUUUUCCUUUCAUUAUUAUUAUCUUCUCUUUUUAGAGUCUUGGGUGUUGGAUGGUUGGUUUGCCUGAUAUUUGCGUUUGGUUUAUUAUGCAGGAAAUGUCUAUUUUGCUGUGAAUGAAUUUUGGGAGGUUAAGAAAUUGUUGUGCUUGAAGAUUGCAAACAAAAAUUUAUUUUGUUUCUCUCUGAGUUUGUUUUGGCUGGUUCUGUGGGAAUGUAUUGUUUCGAUAGCUUUGUAAUGUGGUUUUUAUUGUUUGGUUCAAUUAGUUGCCCUGCCGUGGUUCGAUUGAAGUUUGCAGAAAUCCAAUAGGCAUAUUACUUUAUUUGUAUAUGUAAUUAAGAUAGGCCUGCUCAUGUAUUUUAUUCAAGAUAUUGUGAUGAAGCUAAUGUAGUUAUUUAAUUUAAUGUAGCCGUUAUUUAAUUUUAUUGCUUUGCCAACUUUUAUUGAUUUUUCAUGGUGCUUCAGGUGGCAAUAGAAUUAUUGGAAAGAGAUCGAUUUGUGGAAGCAUUUACGCAGGUAAAACAUUUACACACAUAUAAACUGAGCGACUGACGAACAGGGGUUCUUCGGUGUUGUGCAAUUUAGGACUUGGAUGUGGUGGAGGCUUUGGUAGAGAGCGAUUCUGCUAUUGCGUCACACCGUUGUGCAUGAUCGUCACUUUGCCCUUCAAUAUUCUCUUUUUCCUCUGCUAUUCUCGGGUAGGUAGUUAAUAGAACCACAAACUGAAGCUUGCGAUAGUUCCCAGAUUUUGUUCAUAGAAUUUAAUGCUUAGGGGUUUAUAGAAUUCAUAGGAUUGUAUUUAGGAAAUCCUAUUAUUGUUUUAUUGUCUUAGGGGUUUAUCCUCUUAGCGUAUGAAUAUUUGUGUUCUAUAUACAACAUCUUACUGUUGGGAGAGGAACCAGAUUAUGCAGCAAAAUAUAUGAACCAAAAUUGUACAGCAAAAACACAGCAAGAACAGAAAAAAUAACAGCAGCAAAGACACCAAUUUUAACGUGGAAACCCUUCAAUGUGAAGGGAAAAACCACGGGACAAUCUCCGAAGAACUUCCACUAUGAUAAAUGAGAUUACAGCCACCAAUCUCUCUAGAUCACUAGAGGAAAAACUCUCAAGAGAAACACUCUUGGAUACACAAACAUAAGAAGACUUAUCAGAGAAAGGAUUGCUGUCCUCUUUCUCUCCUAUCACAGCAAAACACUCUUCUCACUCUAACCAAGGUUACUGAGAGCUGAAUACAUAAAACACACAGACUCUUCCAGUCUUCUUGAGAGAAUGAGAAAUACACCAAAAACGAGUUACAGCAGAAGCACGCCUUCUUUUGGAAAACUGAAACGACCCUUUUUUUUUCUUUCUCCAAGAUAGAGUCCAACUUGGGCUAAAACACUCAUUUAAUUAGAUUUCUAGCAUGAGCAGCGAAUUAACUCCAACACUUACGACUCUGGCUUCGGCUCUAAUUCUGCUUUCACUAUGACAUAGUUGUUCAAGUUUGUUCCUUUUUUCCCAGCUUUUCAUCAGUUUUACUAAUCUUACAACUGGCUUUGGCUUUAAUUUUGCCUUUUCAUCAGUUUACUAAUUUGAGGUUUUUUUUUUUUGCUUCUUCGCUUUCCUAAUUUGAGGUUCAAAUUAGUUGUUCAAGUUUGAUUUACAGAUUUGUAUUGAUAUUUUCAAUUGCUUUGGGUUUUCUUUUCUUUUCUUUAGGAAUCAGAGAAGUGUGUGAAGGAAUUGGAUUUGCUUAUCAUAGACUGGGUUAAUAUGGGGAGUGGAUUGUCAUGUUGGAGGGAUUGAGCUCCAGGUAACCUUUUGAUUUGGUUGAAUUGUUAAAAACUCCAGAGCUGUAGAAACAACACAAAACAGUACACAGAAGAGAUAAAAACAAUUAGAGGAAUACCCUGUUCAACCAAUACUCGAUCACUGAUCCAAAAUAAUUUUGCUCUUUAGAAUCUAUGUUACUGUUAAUUAAAAGCAUUAAGAGAAAGAAAAAAGCAUAAGAGCUGAUUCUAUUAAAAGUUGUCAAAUGAAUUUUUUUUGUCAAAAUUCCAAAAAAGAGAGGACCAAAAGAACACAAGAAAAACUACUUCUCCAGGUUUUUAUAUACUUAAAUACCUAAUCAUCGUUUUCCUAUACUGUGCCACAAGAAGAGUGACUUAAAAAAGUAGGUGCGCCCUUCUAUGUUGUUCUUAUUCAUAUUUAACAAAUCCUGAUAUCUGCUUCCCUAUUUUUUUUUUUAAUUCAAUUCAGUCAUUUACGAAAUGCAUACCAAUGUGUGUCUAUGAAAUGCAUACCAAUGUCAGUUAUGAAACAAAUAAAGAGGGCAUUUAGGUAGCAGUAGAAAUGUAAUAACAGUGUAUUUAUCAGUCUAUGCUUCCAUCUCUACAGAAACUGUUACAUUCUUAAGUAAACCUUCCUACAGAAACAAUAAACUUGUUUCUGUUCUAAUCAACUAAAGGACUCUGUUGGUUGAAAUUUGGUUGUCUUGGGAUAGAUGAUUUAUUUCAUAGUUAUCUUUUGUUUCCCCUACGUAUGUUUUUAGUAUCCCUCUUAUUAUUAAUUCUAACCUUUUGCUUUGCUCGCAGUAAAACAGGGAACUCCCAGCUCAUAUUUUGUUUGACGAUAUUGACUUUUUCCUGAAUGACUUGCAAACAUGAUUCACUCUAUUUCUUUUUUGUAAGCUGUUACUUCUCAGUCACUUUAUUUUGGACUUGGCUCAACUAACCUUUCACUUGAUUUUCUAAAUAUUCUUUUAUAUAUUUUUGGUAUCAAAUAAGUACAUCUACGGUCUCUAUUGGUGGAGGUGAAGAUGCAAUACAAAGAAGCUGAAGAACGAUUAUUAGAACAGACAAGGAAAAAUAAAGAGAAACUAUAGAUUUUUGAACAUCUUAUUCCGAUCUUGAUGUAAGUUACCCUUCUUUCUGUAUGUAGAACUGUGUUUAUUCAUUUUACUAUUUUAUUUAGGUGGCAGUAGUUCUUUGGCUUUAAUGACAAGGUUGAUUCUUUUUUUUUCUUUUUUCUUUUUCUCUCUUUUGUGUACAAAUUGCUGUCACAUUGUGCAUGCAAUUUGAAGUUUAUUUAGGGCUAUGGCUAGAAAUUUUGGAUCCUGGAUUGGUUUGAGUGGUAUUGAAGUUGUUUAGUUUCUGAUUUGAAAGAGAAAUUGAGAGUGAAAGAAAUGCGAUGCUGAUUGUGGUUGGAGAUAGUUGUAGAAGUAUGGAACUUGCCUGUAAAGAGAUUCUGAUAAAAACUUAAUAUUUAAAGUGUUGUACUGGCUGCAAUAUCACCAUCAUCUACAUAUCUGUUAUAAGAAAUAAUUUAAUCAAUUAAAAAGUUUUGAGUGUUGGUAACUGUGGAUCUGUACUGCGAUUGGUAGAACUAAUAAUGGAUACUUUCAUUACUCAUCUUUCUGUGAAUAUGGUUUAGUAAUAGCUUUCAAUUUUCAUUUACAGUAAAGUUUUGAUGGAAAUUCCUAACUUCCGUCUAGAGUAGUAAGACAUAAAAGUGAACUUAGCACAUGUAUCAGAACAGUCAACGAUGCCAGGUUGUGCAUGUAUGCAUUUAGCCGGUGGUGCAACCUAUUUGGCUAUUCCACAAAAGUUAACAAAGUCUUAGAGAAUUUUUGUUUUUUCGGUCUAGGAAUGAUGCAUUGCAUUUGUGUUCUUAUUUUCUUUCCUUUUUAGAUUUUUUUUGUUUGGAAAUGCUAGACUGAAUGCCAAAUGUUGUUUUCAUGUCGUCGUAAUUUAAUAUGUUGAUUGGUGUUAUAAUUUGUUUUUAUAGGUUUGAUGUGCAUGAGAAGAUGAAUAGAUAUGUUGUGAGGCUUAUAUGUUGUGUGAUGCCUAUUUCUUGCACAGGUGACCAUUGCAAACAGUAGAGGGCUUUAUGGAUACCAUUGCAUCCUUCUCUUCAACUCUAGGUCCACCUUCCUCGACCAAAAUGAACUGACACAAUUCCGGUCGUGGGUGGCGGUGAUGGCUCCAGGUCUAGAAGGAUAUGUGACGGUUGCUCGGCGCUUGGAGGAUCGAUGAUGACAGAUGGAUAUGUGAUCGACUUUGCACUUUUGAAGGCAACAAGUUGAUAUUUAUAGGUUGUUUGCAGUGUUCUGCAAAAUUUUAAUGAUAUCUUUAAUAAAAUUGCAUGCAACUUGAAAUUGUGUAUAAAUUCUGCUAUUUUUUAUUAACCUAAAUAAACUAUCUUUAUUAUUUUCAUUAAUGUUUGUGUCACACCCUGAUCUUAGUGUAUGACUAAUGUGAUAGAUUAAGUUGAAAACAUAAAAGCUGUAAUUUUUAUUUUAUUUUAAACCCUUUUCAAGUACCAAAGAGCAGUCACUAAAAUCUUAGUUAAAGAUCUUCCAAGGAAGUAAGCUAUUAAAAACAAUGAGAUGAAAUCUGAGAACUAGACAUGCCAUGAAAUUCAAACAUACUUUCUUUUCAAGGACAUGUAAAAUUGAACAGUAUUCCAAAAUAUAAUGUACAAGUUCUAAACACACUCUCUCCAAGGAUUCUUAAAACUUGCUUUUCCACAAAUCCUAUGUUGCACCGACACUCCACACCCCUGGAGUGUCGGAGUGUCUGACACUUCCGACACGCGCCCGACACGGCAAAAUCCGUGUCCGACACCCCACGUGGCGUGUCCGAAAAUGUUGACUUUUCGGACACGUCGUGGACACGUUGACCUCUUCCGACACGCCACUGCGACACGCCACGUCAGCAAGAACUUAAAAAAAAAAAAAAUAAACUGAAGUAAUUGAGGCAGUGAGGCACGCUCGGAUUAGAACUCUCAUUCUCUUUCUCUUCUCUUCUCUUCUCUCCUCAGUCCUCUCUGUGCUCUUCUCUUCACCGAAUCGAUUCCCAGACGAAGAAGACGCUCACCUUUCGCCACCCAUUCUCACCAUUCGCCAGUCGCGCCAAUCAGCCACCCAGUCGAUCUGGUCACCGAUCUGACCUCUUCUCUCUACUGUCCGCCAUCGCCAGUCGCCAGUCGCCAGUCGCCAAUCCGCCAGUCGCCACCCCGCCAGUCGCCAGUCCGCCGGUUGUAAGGUUAGUUCAUUUUCCAGUUUUCCUCCUAUAUCUGAUAGUUCUACUAAAUCUUCUUCCUAAAAUACAAAAAAAAAAAAAAAAAAAAAAUACCUUCUCCUAUGUGGUAUUGCAGAUUGAAUUCAAAAUUAGAUGUGUUUGAGACUUGAGUUAAGAAGUUAAGGAGCUAGUUUGAGUUAAGGAGCUGUUAAGUUUGAUUUGAAUUCAAUAUUGCUUCUGUUAAGUUUGAUUUGCACCUGUUAAUUAAAAUAUAGGUGUUGCUUGAUUAUGGAUUGAUUCUUUGUUGCUCAAAUUGCUUAUUCUAUAUUCAAUGAAUCAAUUGUAUAAAUAGGAUGAGCUCAAGUGCUGCUUCAACUGAACCUAGUGUUGAGUCGAAUGAGCCAGAAAAAAUCAGCGCUCCUCUUUGGAAAUAUGUCACUAAAGAGCCAGUGAUUGAUGUUGAUGGGACAGUGAAAAUAGGGGGAGGAAAUAUUCUUUUUGUGUGCAAUUUCUGCAAAAAGAAUUUUAAGGGUUCACAUUCUAGAGUGGAGUGAAAGCUCAUAUGCUUAAAAUUCCAAGGGUAAACCACAACAUGCGUUUGUCUAUGUACAAUGAUCAUUGUUCCUUGAAGUUGCUCCAAGUUGCCGAGACAAGGUUUGCUUCUCAUUAUGUUGUCCUUAAAAGGUUUAGGGAUGUGAAGAGUGGCUUGCAACAAAUGGUUAUUAGUCCAAAAUGGGAUAUCUAUAAAGAAGAUAAUAUUCCUAAAGCAAGAGCGGUGAAGGACAUGCUAUUGAAGGAAAGCUUUGGGAGCAAAUUGAUUUCAUGAUUGCCCUCAUGAGUCCUAUACAUGAGAUGAUAAGGAUGUCGGAUAUGGAUAGACCUUGCCUUCACUUAGUUUAUGAGUGGUGGGAUUCGAUGAUUGUGAAAGUGAAGAAAGCGGUUUUUGACCCUCAAUUUGCCCAUGUCAUAACGGAGCAUUGUAUUGUGACAAGAUUUUAUGAUGUGGUGCAUCAUAUCCUUAUUGCUCGGUGGACCAAGAGUUGUAGACCACUUCAUUGCAUGGCACAUUCCUUGAAUCCAAGGUACUAUAGCUCUCAAUGGCUUGAAGAUGAUCCUAACUGGAUUGCUCCGCAUAGAGAUGUCGAAUUCAACAAUGAAAGGAAGAAAUGCCUUCAAAAGCUCUAUCCGGAUGCUCAAAUUCGUAACAUAGUGAUGGAAGAAUUUGCAUAUUUUUCAUUAAACAUGGGUGAUUAUUCAUCGGCCGAAGCUUUGGAGAAUAAGUUUCAUUUUGAGCCUUUAAUUUGGUGGGUUGCCUAUGGACCUUCUACACCAUAUCUACAAAGUUUGGCUUUCAAAUUGCUUAAUCAACCUUGCUCAUCUUCUUGCUGCGAAAGAAAUUGGAGCACAUAUAGUUUUAUACAAGGUUUGAAGAGGAACAAGUUGCAACCAAAAAGAGCUCAAGAUUUGGUUUAUAUGCAUACAAAUCUUCGACUUUUGGCAAGAAAGGAUUCUAACUAUCACAAGGACAAAGACUCAAUGUGGGAUCUUGGAGGAGAUGGCCAUGAAUCUAUGGAACCCGCCAAUAUUGAUGUGCUUGAGUUGGCAACUUUAUCUCUUGAUGAGCCGGCAUUGGAGAGGAUGCUAAUUGAUGAUGAGAUGGAGUCUUGAAGAUGAGAGGUAAAUUUUCUUUUCAUUUUAUAUUAGAUCAAUUAUGGAAUAACAAGUUUGGAUGAAUUAUAGAUAUGAUAAUUAUAUUAGUUUAUCUUCUUGUCUAUUAGGUGUCCCUUUGGUUUAAUUUAAUGAUUCAUUGUGUCAUUUUCUUUGCAGGGAAUUCUUGUCUUUUUUUUCCAUGUUAUUGUAAAUAUUUGGUACUUUGACAGUGUAAUUGUCUUUUGUUCCAUGUUAUUGUAAAUAUUUGGUACUUUGGCAGUGUAAUCUUAGUCUGUAGUGAGUGGCAGUUUAUCAUUUUUGUUGUUGUAUUAGUUUUAAGUUUUAACUGUGCGCUGUGGUAGAGAUUACCCUGUUUAAAAAUAAGCUACUGCUCAAGUUUGUUUUUCUUUAAUAUGUUUUAGGUGCUCUUUUUAAUGGUAUUAGUUAUGUACUUGACUUAUUUCUUAUGUUUAUGAAAUAGAUUGAAUUUAGAACUUUAUUUGGUAAUGUAAUGAACUUAUUUUAUAUUUUAGUAUUUUUUAUUUAUUUAUUAAAAAUACAUAAAUAUAUAAUUCUAUUUGCCGUGUCCAUGCCGUGUCGGAAACUCAGUUUUUGAGUUUUGCCGUGUCGCCGUGUCGUGUCGCCGUGUCCGUGUCCGUGCAACAUAGCACAAAUCUGUAAACAGUCUAGUAACAUAGAACGAAUGUAGAAACCUUUCAAAACAACUUUAAUGCUUUGCUCCGUUGCCUCCAAAGGCAGAAUCACUCUGUAACCACUAUGAAAUAAAACUUGAAAACUAAACAUCUCAUGUAAUGCAAGUAUAGUUUCAUUUCCAAUGAUAUAAAACUGCAUAGUAUCCCAAUAAAUGUACAAAACUUGAACACAUCUUUACUUCUUGUUUCCAUUACUUUCAAGAGUUCAAAACAAAAAUAGAAUCUGAUCUAUGAUAGAGAGAGCUUUUCAAUUAAUACAAUAAGAUAGUAUCUUUCAAAACAGUCCAUCACAUUUGGUACCAAAAAGUAUAGCAGGUUCUUUCCACAUAAAUACUCAACUGUUCUAACCUUUCCAAAACCUGCUAAUAGUGAAGCAAACUUCUCAAAUGGUGGCAACACAUUCCAAUCCAAGAUAACAAAGGUAUUUGAACAAAUAGCGAAGCACAAAGAGCACACAUCACAGAUAUACAACCACCUAAACUUCAGACCAAGAGCUCCAGAAUAUUAAUAUCAUGUCCCCUCACUACUACAAAAAAAGCUUUAAUGACAGCAAAUUUAUGACGUUUGCCCGAAAACGUCAUUGUAUAUUCUUUCCAUGACAUUUUCGGACGCAAACGUCAUGGAUCUGAAUUUCGUCCGAAAUUUAUGACGUUUGUCAAACUUCAUUGUAUGUCUCACUAUUUAAUGAUGUUUUUCACCUGUCAUCUUUCUUAUGACAAUUUUCAAACGUCAUGAAAAAUAUUUCUAUGACAUUUCAAAAAUGUCAUGAAUGAUAAAUGAACCAUGACGAUUAGAAAAACGUUAUGGAAAAUGUUUGAAUGACGUUUGAUAAACAUUGUCAAUGACAAAUAAACUAUGACAUUUUGUAAACGUCAUGAAAAGUUUUACCCAGCCCCUUCAUCUACAAACAAAUUUCCACUUAGACCCGCCCUUUAAUUUCACCCAAAAUUUAAAUUUCCCCCUUUCUCAUUUUAGUUUUAAAUUUUAACUUUUCCUCCAAUUAAAUUAAAUAAAGGUUUCAAACUUUGACUAAACUCUAAACCCUAGCAGCCUUCCUCAUUUCCUCUUUAUUUCUUCUUUGGUUGCACCGCCGCACAACUCUCUCUCUCUCUCUCUCUCUCUCUCGUAAACACAGGUGGCCCUUCCACUCUCGGCCUCUCCUCUGCUGUCUCCAAGUCUCUCCAACCCUCUCAAGCUCAUAGCAUCCACGCUCCUUCACUGUUUUUCCGGUCUCAACCGUCUCCUCUGCCUUGAUGCUCGGUUCAAGAACUCUGCCUCCUCAAUCUCUAGUACGGCCUCCUGCUUCACAUAGUUUUUUGAUUUUGAGUUUGGAUUCGGUUUGUUGAUGAUUUUGGGAUUGUUGUUGUUUGUAGAUCCGGAUUCACCAACCAAUCUCCCACACAUCUCCCAUGGACCCAGCAGAAUCAGAACGUGCAGAGCGACUGGAGCCGCAAAUUGAAGGAGCGGAAACAGAGAAGAUGAGGCUGAUAUCAGGGUACCCUAUCAUAGCUACCAGCCUACCAGACCCUUUCAAACUCUGAAAGAAAAACAUUAGGUAAGACACAUUCAUUUGCUUGCAAUUAUCAUUAAUCUUUAAACUAUUAUUUGGUUCUUAAUCUUCUGCUCAAGGUGAUUGUUGCAUCAGUCUCACUUCUUCAUUUGUUGUAUAGUGGUGGAGUACCACAGGGGAAAGGUUUCAAAUGCACUAGAAGGAUAAUGACAUCAAAAGCAGUCUCUCUUUUCCGCAAUUUUUACGAGCAAGGAAACCCAAAUGGUAUCUAUUUUAGGAAUAAUUUAUGUUUGAUUUUAGACUGCAUUCAGAGGGCAGAAUCAUUCAAAUUUGUUUUCUCUUUUGAAUUCAUUAAUUCCUUUGCUCAAGUUAGGGAUCUGAGUUUGUAGCAUGUCUUGCUCGGUGCACCUCACCAAAAUUUAAAUUUGGUCUACAGGUGAAAUCAGAAUAGCAAUUUUAUGAAAGCUACUGGAUUGAUACAUAUGUAGAUUAGCGUCUUUUUUUUUGGUAGAUAGCUUGAUAAAGAGAUAGACUUAUGUAUGAAGUCAGUGUAUCUUAAUAUCGAAUCUUGUUUGCUUAAGGAGCAAAGUUUGUUUGCUUAGAUACUGCUUUUUCAUUGGAGAAGACAUGCAAAGGAAAGUCUACAAAUACUCAGUUUUUUACUUAAAUUGAUAUGCUCAGUUCAGCUUUUUGAUUAUGUAUCAGUAGUGGCUUUUUAGUUCAGUUUGCUCAGUUCAGUUAUAUAGUUAUAUCAUGUAUAGCUACUUGCUCUAUUUGAGCAGUGUGUUGCUGUGUACUUGUUUAAUGUUGUGUACUAGUUGUAUUUGAUUUUGAUAGUAGUCCAAUCUGAUAUGUGUGCAUUUUGGUGUUGCAGGUUCUGUUAUUUUGGAUUAUAAGGGUGAAGCGGCUUAUACUUAUGAUGUAUGGUCAAUGUUUAAACUUGUUUGAUUAUAAGUACUUGUUUAAACUUUUGCUGUUGCUUAUGGUCAAUGUAUAUAUAUGAUCAUGCCAUAAGCUGCAACUUUUAGCUAGCUAGCUAGGUAGGACAUAAACUAUUUGAUGGCUGGACUUUUGUAUCAUUAGUACUAUUUGAUGAUGGAUGUAAUUGCUUGUGAAUUAUAGUUUCAUAAGCUUGCAAUUGUAGUCCAAUCUGAUAUGUGUGCAUUUUGGUGUAGCAGGUUCUCCUAUUUUGGAUUACAAGGGUGAAGUGGCUUUUGCUUAUGAUCUUGGUUUGACUUGGAGUUUAUAGCAGAGCAAUUUCUUUUAGACACUCUGUCAUGUAAUACUUAUUGAGACUAUCCACUUUAUUUAGAUACUCUUUCAUAUAAUACUAAUAGAUGAAUUAUGAUAGUUUAUUAAUAAAACUACUGAAUUGUGUCUCCUUUAUGAUUUGUAUACAAAAUACAUUUGAUUUCUGAAUUUAAUCAGAAAAUCAAUUUUUUUUUUUAAAUAUGAGAAAAAAUCAAUGACAUUUGAAAAACGUCAUCAAAGAUUUUAAACAACGGUUCAUAAACAUCAUGAAUUAUUUUCUAUGACGUUUGAAAAACGUUGUAGAAGAAUCUUUCAUGAUGUCUUGGAAACAUCAUUGAAAUAUAAUAGAUAACACUUACCAAACGUCAUUAAAGAUUUUUUAUGACGAUUUACAAAUGUCGUUGAAAGGGUACGAAAUCCAUGACUAGGGUAAAGACGGCGAAGUAGAUGACGUUUGAUAAAUGUCAUGAAACCCUUAUAAUGACAUUUUUCAAACGUCAUAGAAACUUUUUCUGUACUAGUGCCUUAUGAACUACCUGAAAUCAACAUCAAGAAUAUAGGGAAUGAGCUUCACAAGCUCAAUAGGUACGACAAAAUAAUCUUUAUAACAAAGACUCUAAUUCAAUAUGCACUUGGAAAUGAAAGGCAGAAACAUACAUGAAGCUUUAGGAAAAUAACCAAGGAAAUGAGAUUAAACCCCAAUAAUUACUGGUGCACUUACGAAAGAAAGCCAAAGAUUCAGAAGCAAUAUAAAUGAACUCAACUCAAAGUUAACACUGAAACUGUGGAUAUCAACUUUACCAAGUAUCACAAUCAUUAACAAUUUACAUGAACGAAGCGGAAGAAGGCUGAUCAUGAGGGUAAUCUGACAACAAGGCCAAGCCAACAGAUAUAAACAUCAAUAGAUGAUUUCUAACAAAAACAGCAGCAAGAGAUUUGGGGUUUCCAAACUGUUGGAGUAUUAGCAUCACAGAUGAUGACAGAUAAAGAAUAAUUUGACCAACAAUGAACCAACAAUAAGCACAUACUCCAACCAAAGAUGGGAAGUAUUGGAUUAUUCUAUAAACAGAAUUAGCUUUAUGAAAAUAAUAUCAAUGAAUUACGAACACUUUCAAACAACGACCAAGUUCUCACAAGAGAAGGACAUGAACGGAUAUAGCUACUCAUUUAUACUUGAAAGUAAUUUGCAGCAAGGCAAGAUUAUUGAUGAACUUUGCUUUAAGAACUCUACACAUGGAAUUAUAAUUCAACUUAAUAAGGAGAUAUUUCAUAAACAUCUGGACGCAAGGAGUCUAUUUUAAUAUAAGAUUUGAUGAAGUUAAUCAUUGUAAACAUGGGAAGAGGAUAACGAAUACAAAUACACAUAUGUUGCACAACCUUUGCAAAAGGAGAAUAAAGAUAACAGUAGUAAGGCUAACUGGUGGGGAUAUUUUGAAGAGUUCCUGUAGAUUUUAUAUUUCAGUUCUGGUUUAAAAACAAGUAUAUAAACACAGAUGGAUUAGGGUGCUAAUAUAAAGAUCUUGUAUAUGAAUGAGCUAUGACAACAAACGGACAUCAGGAAUAGAUCAAGAAAUAAACUCUCAAGUGCCGUCAUAAGAAGCUUCUUUUGAAAUCAUCAGGUACUAUGAUGAAACAAGAUUUGACAUAGAACAGAUUUUCAUUAAAAUAUUUUCAAGGAUGUACCAAAAUAUAUAUGGAGUCAUGGAUGCAACUAAACUUCAUAAGAAAAGAUUUUGAAGGGAAAGGACGUGGGCUUCUGUGCAUACUUCAAAGAACUCCAACAUGGAUAUUACAAGGCUAACAGUUUAUAUUAAAACUAACAUAUCCAUAACAAGGACACUUGAACCAUGGAUAAGCAGCUAUCAACAUACUCAUAUGAUCAUAUCAGAAAGAAUUAAAACGAAUGAGACAUCAAAACUGUCACAUCCCGACCCUUAUAUUUUUACCUUAUUUACUAGCGUGAUUAUAAUAAGAAUUUUACCGUCUCGAUCAUUGAGUAAAUAGUUUAAUUGGUCCCUAGAGGGGUUUCGGGGACGAUUAUGUGCGGAGGAUUACUAGUAUGAGGAAAAUACGACGACGGUAAAAAUGGUAAAUUUUAGCUAGUAAAAGGUAAUUUUUUAUUCGGGUAUUAUUUUUUCGGGGUGUUUUUAUUUUUGGAAUUGGGUUGAUAUAGGUUGGACCGGUGGAGGCCCAACCCAUUUCUUUUUCCUCCUCCCUUUCUCUUCUUCCCUCUUUUCUUUUCCUCUCCCCGAGCCUCCCGCUGCCCGGUUUUCCGGCCGUCCUCCCGCCGCCGUCCGGCCACCAACCGCCGCCGCACCGGUCCCAUUCGGUCGGUCUCCCUCCCAGCAACAUUUCUAGACCGGUGACAGCCUCCCUAGCGCCGUCGUGAGGGAGAAACGCCGCCCGAAAGCUCCGACUGCCGAAUCGGUUUUCUCGCCGGAACUCCCUCCUCCUGCUGCCAUAUCCGGCGAGCCUUAGCCCAAAAGGAAGCCCUCCUCCCGUGCUUCAAUCUCUCCAAAGGGCUCGCUCCGUCGUGAGCUAGGUAAGGAGAAAUGGGAACUUGAAAUUUCUAGGGCUUUUUGUGUAUUUGUGUUCGAUUGAUGUGCUUAGGCUUAGAAUUGGAGUUUGUGGUAGUUAGGAAUGUUGUAGAGGAGGUUGAGAGGAAGAUGCUGCCAAAAUUUGGUAGCAUUUGCAGGUCGCCGGAAAACGGCUGCCGGCCGCCGCUGCCGGCGGAGCCGCCGCCGGUUAGGAGAUUUUUAGGGUUUUAAAUGUGGAAUAUUAAGAGGAGUAUAUUGGUGUGAUUUAUGGAAUUUUUGGAUGAGAUUUGGAUAGGUUUAUGAAUUUCCGAAGUUUGGUAUUUUUGGCGGUUAAUUAAUGUAGAAUCCGGCCGUAGGAUUUAAGUCGUAUUUUGGAGAGGUUGUAUUUACGACUGUUGAGUAUGAUAUUUAAGUUCGGAUCGUUCCGAUGUAAGAAUAUCGAAGUUAGGCAAUGAUGAGCGUAAUUAUGGCUCUCGGGUAAUUUUGCCUAUUGUGAUUAAAUAUUGGAUUAUUUGGUUGGGAAUUAAUAUUAUAUUUAAAACAGGACGUGAGGAGGCUCGAGCAGACGAGAUCCCAGNNNNNNNNNNNNNNNNNNNNGGCAUAGUCACCCGCAUUUCUGCCAGUUUUCGCCAGUAGGUUACCUGUUCAACCUACUCGUGUUUUCUUGCUUCCGCUUGUGUUUAGUAGCUCUGAAUACUUUAGAAUUUUUGUAUAUUAUGUGAUGUUCAGAAGUGUUAAAUUAAGAGUGUAAUAUGAAAUUUUCGAGUUAGGGUUGUCCAUCUGCAAGGGAGAUUUUCUUAAUCUUUUCAGUAAAUUUUCCUUGGAGGUGGUCCCCGCACGACUUACUCUGGGUUUCAGGGUGAAAUUCGGGGUGGGUCGUGUCAAAACAAUGAAAACUCAAUACUUCAGAUUGACAAACCAAAUGCUUGUCAAUUUACAGCCAAAGAAGAAUACAUAAGAAACAUUCCCAACACAAUCACACCAAAUACAUAUCAAACUAGAAUCAAAGCUAUAAAGAAAAGUUUGUUUUUCCUACCUCAAUCUAUGGAUACCGGCAGCCAAGCAAGACAACAGACGUCAAACAAAUCUCAUCAAAAGCAUAAGCACCCACUCAGCCAUUUUAUACCAUAGCGAUAUCUCUGAAAGCAAUCACGCUACGCAAACACCCCAAACAGUUCCAAAGCAAUCCAGCCACCUAAACAAGAUCACAACAGUUUAUACCCGAAUUUAUUUUUUUUGGAAAAGCUGAAAUUGAACAAGUGGGUUUGAAAAGAUGGGAGAGAUUCAAACUUACUGGAGAUGGCUGAGAUAAACAAGAAGUUUCAAAUCAUGGACAGAGUCCCCAACGACUCUUUGAAGUUACUGAGAAGUGUAGAUUUUCUUUGAAGGUUUGGGGUGAGUGAAUUGAUGUUUGGAACGAAAUAGGAGAACGAAGAAUCGGGAAAAAGUAAGAAGGAGAACGUGUAUGGUUGAGAGGCAAUCAUACAAAGGAGACUUGACCAACGACACAGAUUCAACAAUGUGUUUGGUUCUAGAUGGUGACUGGAAUCUUCCACACUCCGAUCAAAUAUUUCCACACCAAAAAUAAUAAUAAAAUAAAACUAUAUAGACAAGAAAAUCUAGACUGAAAUUAUAUUGGUAAAACCCAAAAUAGCAAUAAAAAUAUAUUCCUAAUCAUAUAAUGAAACACAUAAAGAAAAAAGAAUAAAAACAAUUAAAUUAAAUAACCUAUUUAAAAUUGAGAUCAUUACGGUUUGUCUCACUUUCUUUGUUUAAAUGAUGUGUUUUGCAGUGGUGCUCUAUGGGAAAAUUCUAGUAUGAGUUAAUGCAUAGCAUGCAUCAAGUUUUUUAAAUAUUUUUGAUCGUUGGAUAUAAUAAAACCAUGAAUAUAUCUAACGGCCUAAAUUAUUCAAAAUUGGUAACUUGUUUAUCCGGUAACAAGUAAAAAAAAUUCAUUUUUUUUUUAAAUUGUAACUUAUAUAUGCAAUAAAUAAUAAAACAAAAACACAAUCCAGGAAAACCCUCAAGUAUAACGAAGAACUAAAUAAGACGACGUUCUGUAAAUGUUCUGUUUCGUUCCUAGCCCGAUUUGCACCAUGCAUCAACACGGUUCAGUUCAUUUAGUAAACCUAGUUGUAUAGUGAUUCAAGAUCUGCUAAACCCGGCCACCUAGAGAGAUUCUUCACCUCGAAGAGAUUGUGCAUCACUAUCUUCUUCCAAACUCACCUCGAGGGAUUAUUUAACACUCAGGACCUUGAGGAGAUUGCAUCUCCCCCUUAACAAGAUCCAUCUUGAGCGAUCUUUAUUCACCUCUUAAUUGUAUAAUUUUUUUUAGUUCAAAUCCGACUGAAUUAAGCAAAACGUGUUCAAACACAGUACAAAUUUAUAAAUAGGUUCUAGUACAACUGAACUAAUCGAUGUUGAUUACUUGAUUAGAAACACGAAAACAAGGAAAUUCCUCUAUCUCAUCUUUCGGGGCUUCCUCUUCAACCUCCGAUCGUUCUCUUCUUCUUCCACUUGGCCCCUCAUGGUGUGGCUGAAAUGAAAUUGGCUAUCAAAACCCUAGAUGUGCAGAGAAGGCUGCGAAGAAUGAGAGGAAGUGAUAGCGGCUUUGGGAAUAUUUUUAUUUUAUUUUAAAUUAAGUCCAAAAUAAUUGAUUUUAAUUAAAGGGGAAGAAAGUCUUCAAAUUUCAAGUUACAAGUUUAGAGAACAUGUAUACCAAUAAAAUAAUGAAUAUGUUGUUAUACAAGUAAAAUGUUAAUAAUAUGAGUAAAUUGUUGUUGAGACCUUUAUGGUGUAAUGAAGAUCUUUAUAUUGCAAUUACUGUCCUUUAAGAAGUUUUUAGUUAUGUGACAACGUUUUUACAUAGUUUAUCGACAAUUGAGGUGAAAAAUAAUAAUCAAGGUCAAUUUCAUGGUAGUUUUUUGUAUGAGAACCAUUUGAUUCAUUAGUCGACGAAUUGUUGAAAAAGUAGUAAUCAAGUUUGUAUUUGUAGUAAUUUUUUCAAUUACAAGUUCAAUAACUAUUUUACCAAUCUGACAACAAAUUGUCGUAAUAGUGGUAAAACUAA
Molecule: long non-coding RNA, 17890 nt
Filed under: Fragaria vesca (wild strawberry)
Lineage: Eukaryota; Viridiplantae; Streptophyta; Magnoliopsida; Rosales; Rosaceae
Description: long non-coding RNA (FVES_LNC000336)
Source: RNAcentral